RNAcentral lists this long non-coding RNA (1012 nucleotides) under Daphnia pulicaria. RNAcentral's name for it is "uncharacterized LOC124341582, transcript variant X2". The record is from RNAcentral. Lineage: Eukaryota; Metazoa; Arthropoda; Branchiopoda; Diplostraca; Daphniidae.
UGUGUUGUUUUUCUCGUGUCGCAAACAAAUGCAAAUGCCGCUCAAAGUUGUUUUUAUUUGUUCAAUAUUCUUUGUUUUUAUUUUUUUAUGGACCAAAUUUAACCCCAAAAUGAUGUGAAGGUAAAUUUCUAACUUUCUUAAGCACCAUUUAGUUAACCCUUUAAUACACCCAUCUAUGUAUGUUAUAAUUCUAUUCUACAUAAUUAAUGUGUGCAAUGUCUGUCAUCUCAUCAAGGUUGCAUUAGCAUUAAUAGAUCAAAUGGAUCAUUGGCAUUUCAAAUUUUUACAUAAAGUUGCUGAAUAGACAAUACUCUUUUUGAGCUAAGGAUUCUCAUUGCAUUCUUGACUAAAUAUUUUCAUAAAAUUUAUCUAGCUGACAUUUUCAGGGUGCAGGCAGGUGCAGGCCGCAGGGUGCCUGUGACAAUAGGGAUACAACAGGAUAUUACAAUGGUACAAUACAGUAAGCCAAGCUGAAUAAUCAAUCCAAAAAACAAAGGAAAUUUUAUUGGCAUGGUUUCUUUGUUUUCACUGGUUUUAACAGACAUAAUAUAUGAUCUUUGUGUGAUUUGUUGUCCCAAGAACCUUGAAUCGAGAAUCGUCCCUCAGACCUCUUAAAGAACAAAAUUGUAUGGAUGCAGCCAACAGUAGCAUUGAAGAUAUAUUAGUUAGUGGUUAUUUUUAUCUUAAUCAACAAUGGUGAUAAAAAAAGAAAUUUAUAAUUGCCUGAACUAAGAAGGAUUCCAAUAUCCAGCAGUCUAGAUGGGGAUUGGCAUGGAUUACAAUUCCACAUAGGGCAAAAAAAUAUCAGUGUUGAAGAGAAACACCUGUGAAUCAAUGUUGGUGUAAAAGAUCUUUCGUUUUUCAACUUCUUCUACAGUCACUCUGUAACAACGUGAACAAGAUUACUGAACUCUGGAAUCUUUAGAUCACGACCGAGAUGGGCGAAAUUUUUUUUUUCCCGGAAGAAAUAUAAGCAUUUUGUGAUAAAACUCUUGCCAUGAAGGAAAGUAAU